Long non-coding RNA from Ictalurus punctatus (channel catfish), 2944 nucleotides. Lineage: Eukaryota; Metazoa; Chordata; Actinopteri; Siluriformes; Ictaluridae. The record is from Ensembl.
CUAUACUACACUAUACUAUACUAUAAUAUACUACACUGCACUAUACCAUACUUAUACUAUACUAUACCACACUACACCACACUACACUAUAAAAUAAUAUGCUAUACUAUACUAUACUUUACUACACUACAUUAUCCUAUACUAUAUAAUGCAGUACAACACAAUAAUGUACAGUGGUACAACCUGCACAGUGCAGGUACGGUUCUGUUUUUGUGUUUUCAGUCUAUGCAGGACGGUCCAGACUCCAGUCCGUGUCGACUAUUCCACUCCAGCUGCCACCUCAUCCGCUUUCUGUAUUGCUGCUCCCACUUUUCACUGAUGUCAUCAGUGGGCGACAGUACUUACCGGCGAUGGAAACCGGUGAUAUGAGAAACCUUUGGCUAAACCGGGGAAAGAAAGUGAGAAACCUGUUUCUAACAAAGCGUGGGUGGCAGAAACAAGUCACGUUUGCUUAAUUUGGAUUUCACUGCAGUUUCCACGGCUCUCUUCUGCACUCCGGAUCAACUUCUUUGUGCCUUUCAUCCAGCUGACUGCUGCCCCCUCUAAUGCUUGCUUUUAGCUUCACGGAGGACAUUUACACCUUUUAAAACCUCAAUCUCUCACCAUCUCAGCUCAGUCUGAGAUCGCGAUAGUACCACAGAUACUGCAGAUCCGCUAAGCUAUGGACAACGCAGUGAGUCACGUGGGCUAUGAGGCAGAAAAAUCAACUCUAGUGAAAUAUGGACCGGUCCUUCUCAGCUUGAUAAUGAUCCGUUAAAAUUAGCGUGCUAGAUGUUAUUUUGGAUAAAAUGGUGUUUAUUAGGCACACCCGUACAUCCAUGGAACUAUCUUCGGGGAAUUACGUGGCAGCGGACGAAUGAAUAAAAUCAUAUAGUCGUACAGAUACCAAGGCCAAGAGCUUCAAGAUUCUCUAAAGUUUAUACAGAAUUGUAUACACACCUCGUUGAUGAGAGAGGUCAGAGGACAACGACUAGACUGGUUCAAACUGACGAGAAGGCUACGGCAGCUCAAAUAACCACUCUGUACAAGACUUGGCUUUAAAGGUUCUUUAGGAUUCCCACCGCGGUAUCCAACUUCACAGGUUAGAUGGACUGCAUGCUCACCUCACCUGCCUCCCUGACUCGGUGAUAGCGUACAAGCCUUCACACCAUCAUAUCCACGCCGAGUUUAUCAUUUCCUCCCUUAAUAUUGGUCCCAGGCACACAUUUUCACUUGCGCUAUGGAGAACGUAGAAAAGCAGCCACUUUUUUAUGACUUUGAUCCUUAAAAAAAAAAAAAAUCAGAAUAAUAAAACACUAAUCAGAUUUGUGUCUGGUAACAGUAUCUUGGGGAGAUGGUUACUUAGCAACUGCUACUGGGUAUCAAGAGCAAUAUAGCUUGAUGGGUGGACAUGACAGUAGUGUAUGCACUGUGAAAAAAAAUAAAUAAAUAAAUAAAUAAUAACAGUUCUUUCCUACACAUCCAGCCGACUGGUUCAGGAGUGAUGCUUGUUUUAUUAAACAUGACAAGAACUUAAGAUGAGAAUUGAAGAGAACUGAUUUGUGUACAACAGUGAGAUUCGUUUUCAUUUUUUUUUAAAUGCUUCAAAAUUUGCCUAAACGCUCUUUUUGCAUAAUUACUAAUGAUUACAGCUUUUUACAGUAAUUGGCAAUGUGGAUUCAAUUAUUUCCCAAAUCAUUCAGAGUAUUAAACUCCCAUUGGGACUAAAUUGCAUAUUGCUACUAAUUUACUUGAAGAUUUAUUAACACAAACAAGUCCAGUGUGAAAAUACAGUGGCUUGCAAAAAGUAUUCACCCCCUUGAGCAUUUCCACUUGGUGGUGGUAGCAUUAUGUUGACGAUUAGGCGUAUCUUCUUGGUUGAUUCUCUGACUAAUCACGUUAUUACCAGGUCGCUGACGUUUGGUGGACUGCCUCCUCGAGGUAAUGUCAUAGUUGUGCCAUAUUCUUUCCAUUUUUGAAAAAUAAUGCUCCAGAGCAUAUUCAAAUUCUGGGGAAUUUUUUUUAAAUAAGCAAACCGUGAUCGAUACUUUUCCAGAACUUUGUCAGGGACUUUUUUUUUCUAAAAGCUGCUGUAUUUUUUUAUUUUUUAGGAAUGCCCUCUAACAAACUCUGGGUUCUUCCAGGAACGGGUGUACUGGUGUUGAUCACGUCAUACUAAUUGUGCAAGGAAUUAUUUCAUUUCUGGAUGCACCAGAACCGAGUUAAGGGGUAAAUACUUAUGCAAUGGCAACCUGUACUUAAAACCUGUACCUGUUUUAAAUAUUAUAUAGUUUUUUUUUCCCCCACAUGAAAUGUUACAUUUCAUUAUAACAUGUUAUUUUGUGUAGCGUCACUUCGUUUCCGUUCCACCAAGUUCAUACAAGUGCAAGGGGGGUGAAUAUUUAUGCAAAGCAGUAAAGCUUUUGGACAAAUCUCUAAAGUGAACGAAUUAAAAAUCGCAGGAUUGGGCGUAAUCGCAAACUGAGCGUAAAUAUAUAAAGUGGCACGAAUAUGGAUUAUUAAAACCGUACUUCAUGUAUCCCCAACUGAAAUGGAGGCGGAGUUAGAAGUGAGACGCAAACGUGCCGUGAUACUAAAAUUAAUCAAACAAAACCAAAAACGCAGGUGACAUCCUUUUCCACGUUCUCCUCGUUGUUUAUGUUUAAUAGAGCAAAAUAAAUGUUGGCAGAGUCAAACAGAGUAUUUCCAGCACCUGAACACCGGGGUGAUUGGGGGUGGUUUAGUACUAAUUGCGCUAUGUUGUCCAGAUGUGAUGGUGUACAACAGGUCAUUGUGGAAAUUAAGCGAUGUUCUCAAUAAUAGCUCGCUCCGUCCACAGCAGUACUGCGACGGCCACAGAUUUCCAGCACACCUGUGUAAUAGACUAAAAACGACCAACGUUCAAUGGUGUGUGCAUAACACGUUAAUCUAAAUGUUCUUGUGGCAGAUGCUAAUGAUGAUUUUU